This 480-nucleotide long non-coding RNA is filed under the name Zonotrichia albicollis (white-throated sparrow). RNAcentral's name for it is "lncRNA (ENSZALG00000015728.1)". The record is from RNAcentral. Lineage: Eukaryota; Metazoa; Chordata; Aves; Passeriformes; Passerellidae.
CUCAUCCUUCUCUGUUACAGACUGCACAGACUGAAGCACAGCCAAAGGGGUGAAAUGCAGAGCAUGAAGCUGACACAGAGCUAUUCUGCACCAAGAGGUCAAGUGGACAUAGAGUGACAGCCACAUGGUGCUUUGGUGCCAUGCAGGGCCUGGAGGGAAGAGGUCACACAACCCAGACUGGUCAAUCACAGGCCUUGAAAAACAGGAAAUCAGCUGAGUAUUAUCCCUAUGAGACACAUGUGCAGUGCUUGGUUCACAGCUCUUUCACUGCAGAAGAGGCAAGAAGUGUGCCUUAGAGGUGAUGUCCAGAGUUACAGAUCAAUUAACCUUGGAUGGCAGCACAUAUGGCAGUCUCCAAGCACCUCAGGUCAUCGUUUACUGUGUUGGCAUGACAGGAAGCUGACACAAAGUGUGAUCACAAUUUGUAUACAGCUAGCAGGUGUAGAUUGUGUCAAGACAAAGACCCACCCCAUUCACUAA